AUACGUAGGGGGCGAGCGUUGUCCGGAAUGAUUGGGCGUAAAGGGCGCGUAGGCGGCCCGGUAAGUCUGGAGUGAAAGUCCUGUUUUUAAGAUGGGAAUUGCUUUGGAUACUGUCGGGCUUGAGUGCAGGAGAGGUAAGUGGAAUUCCCAGUGUAGCGGUGAAAUGCGUAGAGAUUGGGAGGAACACCAGUGGCGAAGGCGACGUACUGGACUGUAACUGACGCUGAGGCGAGAAAGUGUGGGGAGCAAACAGGAUUAGAUACCCUGGUAGUCCACACUGUAAACGAUGAAUGCUAGGUGUAGGGGGUAUCGACCCCUUCUGUGCCGCAGUCAACACAAUAAGCAUUCCGCCUGGGGAGUACGGCCGCAAGGUUGAAACUCAAAUGAAUUGACGGGG
RNAcentral lists this ribosomal RNA (397 nucleotides) under uncultured bacterium. Its description in RNAcentral is "partial 16S ribosomal RNA". It matches the Rfam family "Bacterial small subunit ribosomal RNA", at positions 523 to 918 of the family's 1533-position model. The record is from RNAcentral.